This 39-nucleotide ribosomal RNA is filed under the name Ascomycota sp. MA5353. RNAcentral describes it as "partial 28S ribosomal RNA". The record is from RNAcentral. Lineage: Eukaryota; Fungi; Ascomycota.
UACAGAUGGUUGACCCUCGGAUUCAGGUAGGUACCCGYA